ACACGCGGCAUGAUCUGAGGUCGGACGUUUCCGAUCUCGUAUUAGCGGAUCAUUGAUCUGGGGAGGUGGAGGCUACAUCGGUGCUCCACGUGUCCCAGAGCCUUAUUAAAUGAGGGGAGCAGGGGUGACGUCCGCUCGUUCUUCAAGGUGAUCUGAUCCUGCGGACCCAUGAUGAGGCCCCGAGAUCCGAUGGGACAGCAUUUCGAUUUCGUACCCGAUUUAUUGAUCCGGAGUGAAUGUGGUGCCUCGGCUUCCGAGGUCGACACGUGGCGCAAUCCGGUCGGGGGAUGGGAACCGACCCUGUCGAUCUGGGCCGUCAGGGGGGUCUAUAUAAACCCCACGAGUCUGCCCUAAGAGUUCUAUUUGGUUGCCUUGUUUUUUGCCGUCUCCUUCCUUGCUCCCCCCCUC
This 408-nucleotide long non-coding RNA is filed under the name Phoenix dactylifera (date palm). Its description in RNAcentral is "long non-coding RNA (PDAC_LNC017810)". The record is from RNAcentral. Lineage: Eukaryota; Viridiplantae; Streptophyta; Magnoliopsida; Arecales; Arecaceae.